This 465-nucleotide ribosomal RNA is filed under the name uncultured bacterium. RNAcentral's name for it is "partial 16S ribosomal RNA". It matches the Rfam family "Bacterial small subunit ribosomal RNA", at positions 338 to 795 of the family's 1533-position model. The record is from RNAcentral.
CCUACGGGUGGCAGCAGUAGGGAAUCUUCGACAAUGGACGAAAGUCUGAUCGAGCAACGCCGCGUGAGUGAAGAAGGCUUUCGGCUUGUAAAGCUCUGUUGGUAGUGAAGAAAGAUAGAGGUAGUAACUGGCCUUUAUCUGACGGUACUUACUUAGAAAGUCACGGCUAACUACGUGCAAGCAGCCGCGGUAAUACGUAGGUGGCAAGCGUUGUCUGGAUUGAUUGGGCGUAAAGGGAGUGCAGGCGGUUCAAUAAGUCUGAUGUGAAAGCCAUGGGCUCAACCGGAGAAUUGCAUCAGAAACUGUUGAUCUUGAGUGCAGAAGAGGCAGGUGGAAUUCCUGGUGUAGCGGUGAAAUGCGUAGAUAUAAGGAAGAACACCAGUGGCGAAGGCGGCUUUCUGGUCUGCAACUGACGCUGAGGCUCGAAAGCGUGGGUAGCAAACAGGAUUAGAUACCCUAGUAGUC